Molecule: ribosomal RNA, 192 nt
Filed under: uncultured bacterium
Lineage: Bacteria
Description: partial 16S ribosomal RNA
Rfam family: Bacterial small subunit ribosomal RNA
Source: RNAcentral
ACGCUCGACACCUACGGUAGGCAGCAGUGGGGAAUAUUGCACAAUGGGGGAAACCCUGAUGCAGCGACGCCGCGUGAGCGAAGAAGUAUCUCGGUAUGUAAAGCUCUAUCAGCAGGGAAGAAAAUGACGGUACCUGACUAAGAAGCCCCGGCUAACUACGUGCCAGNGCGCGGUAUAUGAGNGGCGUGNGAG